GAUGAACGCUGGCGGCGUGCCUAAUACAUGCAAGUCGAGCGAACGGACGAGAAGCUUGCUUCUCUGAUGUUAGCGGCGGACGGGUGAGUAACACGUGGAUAACCUACCUAUAAGACUGGGAUAACUUCGGGAAACCGGAGCUAAUACCGGAUAAUAUUUUGAACCGCAUGGUUCAAAAGUGAAAGACGGUCUUGCUGUCACUUAUAGAUGGAUCCGCGCUGCAUUAGCUAGUUGGUAAGGUAACGGCUUACCAAGGCAACGAUGCAUAGCCGACCUGAGAGGGUGAUCGGCCACACUGGAACUGAGACACGGUCCAGACUCCUACGGGAGGCAGCAGUAGGGAAUCUUCCGCAAUGGGCGAAAGCCUGACGGAGCAACGCCGCGUGAGUGAUGAAGGUCUUCGGAUCGUAAAACUCUGUUAUUAGGGAAGAACAUAUGUGUAAGUAACUGUGCACAUCUUGACGGUACCUAAUCAGAAAGCCACGGCUAACUACGUGCCAGCAGCCGCGGUAAUACGUAGGUGGCAAGCGUUAUCCGGAAUUAUUGGGCGUAAAGCGCGCGUAGGCGGUUUUUUAAGUCUGAUGUGAAAGCCCACGGCUCAACCGUGGAGGGUCAUUGGAAACUGGAAAACUUGAGUGCAGAAGAGGAAAGUGGAAUUCCAUGUGUAGCGGUGAAAUGCGCAGAGAUAUGGAGGAACACCAGUGGCGAAGGCGACUUUCUGGUCUGUAACUGACGCUGAUGUGCGAAAGCGUGGGGAUCAAACAGGAUUAGAUACCCUGGUAGUCCACGCCGUAAACGAUGAGUGCUAAGUGCUAGGGGGUUUCCGCCCCUUAGUGCUGCAGCUAACGCAUUAAGCACUCCGCCUGGGGAGCACGACCGCAAGGUUGAAACUCAAAGGAAUUGACGGGGACCCGCACAAGCGGUGGAGCAUGUGGUUUAAUUCGAAGCAACGCGAAGAACCUUACCAAAUCUUGACAUCCUUUGACAACUCUAGAGAUAGAGCUUUCCCCUUCGGGGGACAAAGUGACAGGUGGUGCAUGGUUGUCGUCAGCUCGUGUCGUGAGAUGUUGGGUUAAGUCCCGCAACGAGCGCAACCCUUAAGCUUAGUUGUCAUCAUUAAGUUGGGCACUCUAAGUUGACUGCCGGUGACAAACCGGAGGAAGGUGGGGAUGACGUCAAAUCAUCAUGCCCCUUAUGAUUUGGGCUACACACGUGCUACAAUGGACAAUACAAAGGGCAGCGAAACCGCGAGGUCAAGCAAAUCCCAUAAAGUUGUUCUCAGUUCGGAUUGUAGUCUGCAACUCGACUACAUGAAGCUGGAAUCGCUAGUAAUCGUAGAUCAGCAUGCUACGGUGAAUACGUUCCCGGGUCU
This 1372-nucleotide ribosomal RNA is filed under the name uncultured bacterium. RNAcentral's name for it is "bacterial SSU rRNA". It matches the Rfam family "Bacterial small subunit ribosomal RNA", at positions 28 to 1381 of the family's 1533-position model. The record is from RNAcentral.